Molecule: transfer RNA, 62 nt
Filed under: Macrocheraia grandis grandis
Lineage: Eukaryota; Metazoa; Arthropoda; Insecta; Hemiptera; Largidae
Also listed under: 1 other name
Description: tRNA-Ala
Source: RNAcentral
AGGAUAGUAGUUAAAAAUAACAUCUAAAUUGCAAUUAGAAAGAGCUUAAUUAGCCUAUCUUA